Molecule: long non-coding RNA, 3340 nt
Organism: Asterias rubens (European starfish)
Lineage: Eukaryota; Metazoa; Echinodermata; Asteroidea; Forcipulatida; Asteriidae
Exons: 12
Source: RefSeq, a predicted model, not a curated record
AGGUCAAAAUUCCACCGCCUUUAACUGCAUGGGUUCUCUCCUCGGUUACGAAAAUCAGGCCAGAAAUUGGGCCAGAAACGCGGCUAGCUGCAGCUCGGUGAGGGAUCGAGCGAGCGGGGGAUCGAGGUAGUUUAUGAGCGAGAGCGUCUUCCACCGAGGCUUCAUUUUCAGCGGUGUGAUGGGCAUAUUAAGAAGCUCACCAAACAACCGUGCACGUCGUUCGUUCGAUAGAGUUUGUUUGAAACAUCGCGAUGGCUGCUUACUCCUUUUUUCGGACUACAGUGUUUGCAUCUCUGGGAGUUGGCUGUUGGCUGCUGCCUGCGCAGAUAAUGAAAGCCUAACAACUUGGAACCUGUCUAGAAAUUCACUGCAGGCUGUCCGUGUGACUGUAAAUGUUUUGCUAUCUAGAAACUAAAAACUUCACUCCAACUACGGUUGUUCAUCCAUGUGAAUGUAACUAUCAUCAAUGGGUUAGUGUUAUAAGUUAAUCCCAUAUCUACUAACUUUGAACCUUAGUUUGUUUCAUCAAGCGAAACUUGCCCCGUGCACUGAGAUCUCUCUGUUGUGUUUUUACCUGAUCCAUUCCUCGGACAUUUGCAGGUAAAAUAAUUUGUUAUAAGUUUUAAAUUGUUCCAAAGCUGAUUUUGUGUCAUUCAUUAAAUUUAACCAAAGUUUAAUGAAUUGUUCUCCCCUGGAAUCCUUUUUAAAUUGAUUUUGUUUUUAAGUGAGUCAGAACACUCAAGUGGAACACUUUCUUUUCUAGGCUGUAGAGAUUGCACGGAAACUGUCUAAUGAGGACAGUAGUGGUGAACACGACGUCUAGAGUCCCCAUCAAGACAACUGCCUCAAACCAUCAUGAGAACACUGGUUGGAUGUUCGUACUGCCCUCAAAGUAAUUUGUUGCCAUGCUGGCUGUCCUUAGACAGGGUUGGCUGCUGCUAGAAAGCGUAGAUGGUGAAAGCAUGCCAACAGAAGGACAUCGGUGAAGGUUCUACAAGAUAGAUUGCUGUGACAUCAUUGAGAUUAUUCACUGAUUGAAGAGCCAACUCAGUGUCCCAAGCAAUACCCCAGUCGCCCCUCGGACUUAUAGUCUUCUAUACCUGAGGUCAAUCUGAUAGGGAACCUAGUCUCUUCAUCACCAGUCUCCCCCCCCCCCCAGACUUAGGGUCUUCUUUACCCGAAGUAAAUUCGUUUAUCACCAUAGUCUUCUCACCACGCCCUUCCUGCUCCAACACCAUCUUUAGCUACCACUUUCUCGAAUGACCAAGAGUUUGAGUCGAGCAGUCACCAGACAGACAGGCAGACAGACAGACAGACAGAGGUUGCUGUUUGAAACAUUGAGCCCACCAGUUCUUCUCAGAACCCAAAUUCACUCAACAGAGAUCUACCUAAAUCAUUUUGUUGCCAAACUGCAGAAGAUCAAGGAGGCUCGUGAAGAGAUGGCAGAGAUUGAACGGAAACUGUCUAAUGAGGACACCAGUGAUGAAUGCGAUGUCUAGAGUCCUCGUUAAUACGCCUUGACAUCAUCACGACAACACUGGCUGUACGCUCUGUACUGCCCUCAAAGAAAUCGUUGCCAUGCUGGCUGUCCCUAGAUAGGGUUGGCUGAUGCUAGCACAGAUGAUGUAAGCAUGCCAACUAAAGAACAUCUACAAGACAGAUUGCCAGGACAUCUUUGAGGCUGCCAUGCUGGCUGUCCUUAGACAGAGUUAGCUGAUGCUAGCACAGAUGAUGAAAGCAUGCCUUCAAAAGAACAUCGGUGAAGGUUCUACAAGAUAGAUUGCUGUGCCAUCAUUGAGAGUAUUCACUGAUUGAAGAGCCAACUCAGUGUCCCAAGCAAUACACCAGUCCCCCCCCCCAGACUUAGGGUCUUGUAUACCCGAAGUCAAGUUAUUUAGCACCAUAGACGUCUCACCACGCCCUUCCUGCUCCAACAACACUCUCUCGUAUGAGCAAGAGUUUGAGUCGAGCAGUCUACAGAUGGAGUGUACUGUCUGAAACAUUGAGCCCACCUGUUCUUCUUGGAACCCAAAUUCACUCAUCGGAGAUCUACCUAAAUCAUUAUGUUGCCAAGCUUCAAAGGGUAGGCAUUUUUUGAGCCAUUGCAAAUUUCUGCUGUUAUAUUAACUCAAUGUUGUGUUCUUUAUUGAAGCCAAGCCAACUUUACAUUGUAGUGUGCCAAUAAUUUCUGAGGCAAUCAUUCUCCAUCUAUCGUAUCAAUUCCAAGGUUAUGUUCUACUUGUCAAAUCAUUUCCAAAGUAAUUUUGUGCAAUUUCUCAAAACCAUUCCAAGUCAGGGUAUUAUUGCUAAUUGCAUCAAAUUGCAAUUUGUCCUAAGACAUUUUAACAUUAUUGCUCUACCUUUGGAUGGGUCCUGUGUGUUAUGUAAUGCUCUGGCAUGUUGGGCAAAUGAUGUUUAAUAUUUGAGUCUUGUAUUACAAAAACUUAUAAAUAACUGUCUUAAACAUUUCUGCUUUCACUAAAUAAAUAGAUGACGCUUUAUAAAUGCUUGAUGUUGUUAUUUUUCAACUACUUCAGAUCGAUGAGGGUCUUGAAGAGGGUCAGAACACUCCAAGCGGACCACCUUGCUUUCAAGAUGGUAGAGAUUGAACUGAAACGGUCAAAUGAGAACAGCUGCCUCAAACCAUCAGGAGAAGACUGGUUGGAUGCUUCAGACUACCCGAAAAGGAAUUCAUUAAGUUGCCAUGCUAAACAGGGUUGGCUGCUGCUAGCACAGACGAUGAAAGCAUGCCAACAAAAGAACACAUCGGUGAAGGUUCUACAAGAUAGAUUGUCCUGACAUUGUGAGGUUGCCACGCACGACGUCCUUAAACAGGGUUGCCUGCUGCUAGCAGUGAUGAUGGUGAAGGGUCUACAACAUUGAUUACCGUGACUCCAUUGAAGAUCGAGGAGGCUCUUGGAAGAGGAUCACCUUGCUUUCAAGAUGGUAGAGAUUGAAUAGAAACAGUCUAACAAGAGCAGCAGUGAUGAAGAUGACGUCUAGAGUCCCCGUCUAGACAACCAUCUCAAACCAUCAAUAGAACUAGCACCCAGAUUAAAUUCAUCUAGCUUGUCUGCCACGUUUGUAUAACAAACAGACAACAAAAGUCCUGGAACUGGGGAUAUGGCAAAAGGGGGAUAAGGGGUGCAUUAUUUCUGCUACUUUCUGUCCCUCUUUUUAAUGGGUGAAAAGUGUAUCACCACAGGGGCAUACCCGUGCAAGAUACACAAAGAAAUAUCUAGGUAUCUUCGCUCCACACAUGGAUAAAUGAUUACCUGUGAGGGCAGAGUUGUUUCUUGUGAUUGAUUAGCUUACAUAUUUGGGGGCACAGACUGUAUAC